AGAUCUUUUUCUUCUAGAAAUCAUCUUGACUCCUACGUAAAUUUGUGGAUAUCAUUGAAUGCCUGGGAGGAGGGGCCCAUCUGCUUCACCCAUCAAGAGCCUCUAAGAGAUGAUUUUUUAAUUCAUUUGAGAGAGAGAAAAACCACGAGCAGGGGGUGGAUCAGAUGGAAAAGGAGAAGCGGACUCCACACUGAGCAGGGAGCUUGAAGCAGGGCUCCAUCCAAGGACCCUGGGAUCAUGAUCUGAGCUGAAGGCAGAU
Molecule: long non-coding RNA, 259 nt
Filed under: Mustela putorius furo (domestic ferret)
Lineage: Eukaryota; Metazoa; Chordata; Mammalia; Carnivora; Mustelidae
Description: lncRNA (ENSMPUG00000032036.1)
Source: RNAcentral